AGAGAGACAUCGAUAGAGCACAUCAGCACGAGUGCAGGCCGCCAGCGGCGCCGCCGUUGGGGUUGAGCGGAGGGGCAAACACUGCGCCUACGCCGCGGCGGUAGCCGACUGCGGCCUCUGCUCUUCGUAGGAGGGCGGAGUAGAAGAGACGCCUAGGUCGGAGGAGCCCGUCGCUCGACGGACGCCCCCUCCUCCCCGUCGCAGCCGCCCCGACGCCACCUCCUCGCCGUCCUCCAUGUUCAGCGCUGCGGACUAAGUCCCCUUGUCUCCACGGCGUCGGGCGCCCGUCACCGUUCACGUGCCGUAUCGCCGUCUUCCUUACGGAUCGUGGGCGGACCACGGCCGCCGCCCCCGUCUUUCCCCGCCACCGGCCACCCCGAGAUCGUGGGCGGCCCGCCGGCGGCGGUGUAGUUCGAGCCGCUCGAGGUCGAGGGACCUGUACGGCGGCUACACGACGAGACAGUGAUACUUCAUCAUACGACACACCUCAUGGUGAACCUCUGUCAAAGUCCGUCAUCUUUCUAGUCUACUUCAUACUACGACGCACCUCAUGGUGACACUCUGUUAAAGUCCAUCGUCUUUCUAGUCCAAUCAAAGUUCUCUUUUCUUUGUAGUCCUCGUCCAACCCUUUUACUCCGUUUGUUCUAAUAAAGUUUUAAGCAGUUACAUUUUAUGGAUCUUUAGGAUACUUACUUACCGACUAGACUAGGCAAUCAUGAGGGGGUUUAGUGAUCUUUUAACGUGGCGCCUUAGAGAGAGUUUAUUAACAACGAAGUACUCCGCCUUGAACUUUGGCCGGAGUGAUGUAUAAAUCAUGACAUGCAUCAAACGUUACAUUACAAGGAAAGUCACACUUGGAUUAACUCUUUUUAUUUUACUGUCUUUAUCCCUCUUAGAAAGAUUUGUAUUACUUAAUAAGCUCCACACUAACGAUGUGAAACAAUGUAGAUUGACUUACGAAGACAACGGUAGGUUUGUUUCAGACCUGACAGAAUUGUACAGACCGGUUUACUCCCUACUUACCAGUGUUUCUACUCCUACAUCAUCUCCGUUGAUCGUUCAGUGACUUGACAUACGAAAAGGACAAGUAUUAUUGUACGGACGUUAAAGGUGUUACUCAGUAAUCACGUAUAAAACGUUACAUUGUAAAGCAGCGCUUGUAUUAACACCUUUCACACGGAUUUCUUACCAGAUCUGUCUUACCCUUGGAAAGAUGAGAUUGUAUGACCCUUUGUGACUAAUACUCAAUACGUCAAUAGUCCUUACUUAACCAAAAGCUUAAAGACUCCAGUUUCAAACUCGACUUUUUUACACUGUGGAGUAAUCGAACGAUGUGUACAAAUAUUAUAAAACUUUACAUAGAAGAUAUAUCAUAGAACUACCUUUACAAAUUAAGUAGAUCGGUAUUUUUGUACAUGGGAUAGUGUUUAGACACUCACAGUACGUGUCGUAGUGAUAAAUGACCAGAGUAAAUAAAUAAACUUAAAAAUUUUUACCUACCCACCAAAUUAAUAUACUGGUGGGUUCACUAUAUUAUAAAACAACAGAUUUAGAAGAACGGCCAGAAUUAAAGUGGUUCGGACUAAGUCUUGUGUACUUUAAGUGUAUUCAGUUGUCCUAAAACAAGAUAGGACGACCUUAACCCCUUUUUAGUAAACGAGGUUUGUUCCUGUUCCAUCAGUCCAUUGAGAUCACGCCGUGAUCAUCACGUCAAACAAGUAAUACUUUCCCGUCCCCAUAUUAAAAAUCCUUUCUAUUAAUAUUUAUACAUGGACACCGGGUGUCUUUAACGAUUCGGGCUUAUAUGUACUGAACUCUUCUUUUAGUCAUAAUUUUUGGGUGUUUUUUACGCAUUCUUUUUCUUUAAUUCCGUGCGUUUCGUCUCCUUUGAUUCGAACCGUCGGUUGCCGAUAUUUAUGGAGUGGUGGAACAAGCGUGGUAGGUUUCUUUGUCUCAAGGUCGUCUCUUUUCACUCUAGACGGAAGAAGGGGGUAGUACCGACGGUACACCAUAGGCUAGUAGCCAGAGGAGGAAGAGUACGAGGGUGAGCCCGGGAGGAGGCGGUAGUUCAAGGGUGAGUAUCCGUUGCAGAUGGGACUACCGGUGAAGAUACGAUGCAACGUCUAACCAUUCGGGAACUUCGGGAUGAAGGACCUGUAGCUGUGACCGUCGUUGGAGUGAACCGACCUCACACUCGUGGGUCUAGUGCCGACGUUCCCGACGUUGGUCUCCUGUGGUGUGGGUAUAAUGUUCGGUCGUCGAGUAUUGAACUACCACUCUACACUGUCGACCUAUACACGAGUUGACGCGUUUCUGGUCGGACCAUCAGGAGUUACGGGGUUGUCGCUAGGUGUAGCUACGGUGAUACUAUAGGUUAUACAGAGGCCCUCCAGUUUUCCGCUGGAACGGUUGCUGUACUAGAAAUAGUUAUCCUCUCUACUAUACUUGAUGCAAAAGCCUACACCUAUGCUCGUCCUCCUCGGUAAUCUCGUCGGUAGCGGUGGCCGCCAUCUACCGUAGGAACCUGAGCCCUCCCCUUCGCAUCCUAAACAGCGAGUUGAGUUCCGUGUUUUCUUCUAUCAGUCCUUACAGUAACCUGUAACGGAGUCGUAGGUACCUUUACCCUUGGACAUGUAACCCCUGAAGUCCGACGGGGGUCCGCUGCAGUGGACCCGUGGGUACUCAUGUAGAAACGGAAUGAUGAGUGGGCCGGGUCGUUGUGACGAGAUACUGCUUGUCGGCUAUUCUCCAUCAGGUCGUAAGUGCUGUCAUAAACUGUCACCUCGGUGGAUGUGGAUGUACGGACCGGUCUAUAUGUUACCGGAACAAAGUUUCCAAGUUCUGUGGGAGGUGUUUAGUAGUGAAUUUCUCCACUUCCUAGCACGAGACGGAGUUACGACCUUUCCUUUUUACGGUAAGUCUAGACAGCUGCUACACUUCUUACUUAAGUUCAGUGACAGCGAUUUUUAAUGGGUACGGGCGCCGUGGUCGUUGGACCUGUAGGGAGGACUUUUGAUGGAGUAGCACUGCUUUCUGCCCUUACGCACGAACCGGUAGGAGCUACCGAGCAGCCUAGCACAAGACUCCGUAGAGUAGAAUUAACCUCUACGAUACUACGUCCUAGACAAACACUAUAUACUGUUGCUCCAGUUGGCAUAGCCUACCCAGGCACGUGUCACGCUGUCCUACGUCCUGGAACUCAGACCGUAGUAACUAAGUGCAGAGACU
RNAcentral lists this ribosomal RNA (3228 nucleotides) under Triticum aestivum (bread wheat). RNAcentral describes it as "partial small subunit ribosomal RNA". The record is from RNAcentral. Lineage: Eukaryota; Viridiplantae; Streptophyta; Magnoliopsida; Poales; Poaceae.